UUCAUUUUCCUCUUCCAUAUUUAUACACAUAUCAAUGUGGACUUUCUGGAAUUUAGAUAACUUGAUAGAGAUGACAUGUGCCAUAUGGUCUUUAGGACAAAUUCCAGCUUCAUUAACAGUUCACUGGCUGAAAGAAAUAGCAAUUAGUCUUUCGUGCAGUCUAAAAUCAGCUUGUCAAUUAGCAAACAAACUAAAAAUUACUGGAGUUUCUUUUUACAGAAGCCUCUGCUGUGAGCCUUCUUCCUACACCCCACGUAGAGCUGACUUUGCAGCAUCAAACCAUUGUACCCUGUGUUCACUGCUUUGCCACUGGAAAUGGGUCAGGAUUAAGCAGAAGAAUCUCAAUGUGUGUAAUGCAAAUAUGAAAGCAAAGAGGCAAGUGAAACCUCUGUAUUGCCCUAAAUCGUGGGCACAGUGCUGGGAGUGGAGGGAGGGACCUGCUGGAGGAAGCCCUGAACGCUGAGCUGGUGGGCAAAGCCUGCCCUGAGACAGGAGUGCCAUGAGCCUCCAGGCAGAGGUGGUGUCCAGCAGGGCAGCUCCGCAGCUUCCCAGAAACAGCACUGCCAUGUGCUCCAGUUCUGGAUGGGGAUGUGGGCAGAGCAGGGCCAGAGUCCGGGAGGGGCACCCUUGGCCUGGCCUGCCCAGGGGCUGGGUCUUGGUCAGAGGGUGUGAUACAUCUUUAUUUUCCCAGUUCCAUUUGCUGGAGGAAGACCUUUCUCUUUCCUGAUUCAUUUCUAAGCCACCUGGGAUGCCUGUAUUCCCUUACACCCAUAAAAUGGGAACAAAUAAUUUAUUACACUCUUCUAAAUCUGUUUAUCAGCUAAGGCUUGAAAGACUUGUUUUCUCCAACUGUUUUUUGAUAUUACUUUUUGGUUUUUACUCAAAAGCUAAGUAAGAUCUUGUGAUUUACCUGAAGGAGGAUGGGAGGUCAGGUGACGUUUUUAAUGUCAUCAGCAAAGACUUUGCUGUCAAGUGGCUGUAUUGGCCACCCACAGAAGGUGCAGGAGAGCCUGAUGACUACUGGUUAUUUUAUGAAAACAGCUCUUGAAUUGCCACAAGUAACUGAGUAAGGGAAUGAAAGUCUGCUGUGAUCAAAUAUCUAGUGCAGGCUGUCCCUCCUGGCUCUGAACUCAUCCCUGUUGGUUAAUGCCUCUGCAAAAUGCUGUACAUGGCUGCUGUGAUGGGAACCAUCAGCCCCUGAACCUAACUGUGCUGUUCCUGCUGGAGGUGGGAAGCCCCUUGUUCAGCUUCCAGUUUCUGCUCUCUUACUAUGGACCUUAUCCGUGUGAUUUGACAGCCUCCAGUGAAAACACUUCACCAGAGCAGUAAGUAAAGCCACCUGCCAAGGAUCGUGACCCCAUUGUCUGCAGAACCUGCUUGGUACAUUCUCAGAUGUGUGGUGCUGAGGGGUGGAUAUUGGAUGGCCUCAUGUGCCUUUCAAAACCGGGGAGUAAUAUUUUGGAAAGACCCCAUCAAAUGACUGUAAAGGAGCUUCUUCUCUGGAUGAUGCUUGAGCGGCGAAGCAGGGUGGGGGGAGGUUGAGAAGCCAAAGCAUUGUACUAUAAAGACCCUGGCACGAGAGACCCCAGGUAUCUGAAUUUGCCAACACCAGAAAUGCUCAUUUGGGUUUGUUAGACAAUUCCUCAGUUUCUCUUUGCCCUCCCAGUCCUGACCCCUUUGCUUGGAAAACACACAGAUGACUCCAUGUCUGACAGCUCUGAAUACUGGAGGGGAGGGUUUCCUCACUGCUCAGAGCAGCUGUGGGGCUCUGUUCUUGUUCCCGUAGUACUGCUGAGGUGGCACAAGGACAAGGUCACAGCACACAAGCUGAUCUUCAAAAAUAAUUUUAGUAACUCUGCUAAUGAUAGUGGAACUGAGCUGGAAAUGUUCCUGUCUGAAAGAGCUGCGCUACAGAAAGACACUUUUUUCUCUAUAAUUCAACAGAAACUGGGUUUGCUCCUAAGUGCAGCCUGUUUUGAAAUCAACCCUUGUGUGGAGCUGCAGGGGUUAAUGCCCAUCUCCACUGUCAGAUGGAAACUUCCAGGGCUGGUGGGGAUGAUGGAGCGUGCAGAGGAGCUCGCAGGCCCCUCGCGUGUUGUCUGCUGUGCUGUCUGCUCUGUAUUUAGGCUGUCUUGUCUUGCUAAUCACAUCACAUCUGUCAGCUCUCUGUGGCUAGAAACAAAUUGUAAACAAGAUGUCAAGGUGGAGUGGGAUGAAUUGUUUUUAAAAAGGGGCAAAAAAAUCAAACCAUAUUGAAUGGCAAAAAAAUAAUAGGUAAAUAGCAGCUGAAUGUUCCUUUAAAAAUUAUUUUUAGUGCAUGUUUUAUCAUAGCUAAUGAAUGAUGGUUUAUACAUGAACAUUUGGUUGUAAGGAUGUGCACCACAGUGGAAAUCUAAAGCAGUUUCAUUCCUUCUCCUUCUCAUGGCCUAUAGCAGGUGCUUUACCAUUUUUUCCACCAUUAAAACACUGGAAAGGGCUGCAGCAGUUUAGUAGCAGCUUUUUCUUGCAAACAGUACAACCCCACCAACCAACACCAGCAGCAUUUGCCUGGCUCACACCUUGCAGAAUGUCUGGUAUUUCUGUGUUUCAUUUACCAGGUUUGCCCAGUAGCAGGACUCUGGUAAUAUGAUCACAGACAAUAUGAGAGAGAAUAUGUCCUGUAGGCACAGAGGAAAGAUUUACAGUUUACUUAUUCAGUAAAAGUACUUUGAUUACUAAUUAGAACUAAUUUUAUUUACUUAGAAUUUCUAUCACCAAUAAUUGUGUGUUUUCAGCUAAAAAAAAGUGAUGGACAGGAAGGAUGUGACAGAGGAACUGUUUUUCCUCAGUUAAAGAAGAUGCAAUGGUAAAUACUCAGAUGCUAUGGUUUAUGUUCAUUUAGGGUCCAUUUUCCUCCCAGGUCCAAUGAAUGAUGUGGAACCAGGUGAAAUGUUUGUGUGUAAGUCACAGAUCAGAUUUAUAGGUCUCGAUGGAAAGUUAUUUCAAGUAAUUUUAGGCUUAGAAAACAAGACUGGAGCGUAUUCCCAGUAUUAAUAUAGGCAUAUGAACAAGUUUUGGUUGUGGCUAUCACCAAGUAGGGAGUGAACAGUUUUCACCAAAACUAUUUGAUAAAAUUACAGGUAAAAUGAGUUUUAUGAAAACUACAGUGGUUUUAAAAGAAAUAUUUGGAAAAAUAUUGUUUGGAAGGAUCUUAGGGCUUUGCUGCUUAAGGAUGGAGAGGGCCAGGGCAGCGCUCAGUCUUUAAAUACCCUUUGCCAAAGCUGCUGGUACCUGAGAGCUUCAUCCUCCUCUUGGGCACAGCUUCCUCCAGGCAGGGAGCAUCUUGCCUGAGGCUCUGCUUCCAGCUGUGACAGGGGCUGGAUUCAGCAAUUUUGGGUUGCCUCUGGUGUUACCAGCUGCUCCUCACUGAGCUGUGCUUUUGGAUUGGGUGAUGGACAGAGAUGGAGAAAGGAAGAUCCUGACCUGUGACCAGCAUGGUCACAGAGAAAUGCUUCAUAUAGGCUUAAGAAUUUCCAGUUAUUUGCUUUAACACUUCUGUAAACAUUUGUUGUUGUUGUUUUGUUUUGUUUUUAACAAAUUUAGCCUUUGUGUGCUAGGGCAAUUGCUGGGCUUAUGCUGCAUCUCACAGGCAGGAGUGAUGUGACAGCACGAAAAAAUUCAGUAAGACACUGCCUGUAAUUGAGGGCCAGCAUCUUGUGAUGGAGAGACAUUGGAAAGCUGUGACUUAAAGAAGAAUUGAGCCUGACACAGGUGGCAGAUGUGCAGGUAGCACAACCCUGACAGGUCAGUGCAGCUCCUGUCAAGGACCUCCAAGACAUGCCAUAAAGGGAAUAAAAGAGUGUAGCUCUGGGUAUGAUGCAUGGGCUGAGCACAGGGAGGGGUAGGGGCUGAUUUAUACCCACACAAGAUUAUUUCUGGGUUUUGCAUGUAGUGGUCUGGUGGUUCUUUUGUAUUCUCACAAAAAAGCCUCUGAUUGUUCUGACUGUUUUUACCCCUUAGAAAGGCAGAAAUAUAUUGUUUCGUUUCUUUGAUGCAUUUUUCAUGUAUAUUAGUCUGUGCUGUU
RNAcentral lists this long non-coding RNA (4063 nucleotides) under Taeniopygia guttata (zebra finch). Its description in RNAcentral is "lncRNA (ENSTGUG00000023208.1)". The record is from RNAcentral. Lineage: Eukaryota; Metazoa; Chordata; Aves; Passeriformes; Estrildidae.